This is a long non-coding RNA of Choloepus didactylus (southern two-toed sloth), 6160 nucleotides long. RefSeq lists it as uncharacterized. The record is from RefSeq and is a predicted model, not a curated record. The transcript is spliced from 3 exons. NCBI's taxonomy places the organism in Eukaryota, Metazoa, Chordata, Mammalia, Pilosa, Megalonychidae.
ACGCGCACGCGCGGAAGAUUCCGCUCCUCCGGGCGCGAAUCCACCGACCCGGGGUUUGGGUCCCGCCGGGAACUGUUUAUAAACACAGCGCGCGGCCGCCGGCAAGAGAGCCUGAAGCUACAGAAUGAUGGGGUUUGGAUAAUGACUACUCAAAAGUGAGGACCCUGCAGCAUUGCAAGAAGUUACCAGCUUUGAUUUGGGAAUGAAGGUCUGACUUUUUCUGUUCUCUCAACCCACUGCCAUUUCCCUCGCUGGAGCCAGGCAGCGAGCUCGGCGGGGCCCUGGCUCGGCCCCUACGGAAGCAGUGCCCGUCCCAGUUUCCCACCGUGUCUAAUAAAGAGGUGGGAUGAAUGGUAGAAAUUUCUCUGCCGUCUCUGUCAUGGGCUGUGUGUCCCCCAGGAACUUAGGUCUGCGUUCCAGCCCGGCUCCUGGAAAUAGGGUCUCUAUGGCUGUCAUCAAGGAGUAGGUGGGCCCUAGAUCCAACAUGACUGGGUCCUCAUAGGGAGUGGGGAGUUUGGGCAGACAGACACACGCACAGAGAAGACGGCCACAUGAAGACAGAAGGAGAGACGGUGAUGCUGUGAGAAGCCAGAGGACGCCCAGGCCACCGGACACCAGGUGACAGCACGGAACCAGCUCUUCCCAAGGAUUUCAGAGGCAGCCCCGCCUUGCCGACACCUGGAUUUCAGACGUCUGCCCUCCAGAACUGUGAGACAACACAUUCCUGUUGUUUUAAACCACCAGUUUAUGGAACUUUGCUAAGACGGCCCUGGGAAGACUAACAUAGUCUCUUCCAAACAAGAUGCCUUCCACUGAACAAUUGGCUUGAUUUUACUAGGGACAGUGAAUCUGGUAACUGAACUUGUUUCCUUCUUUGUGUGGGCUGUUAGGAAGCUCAGAACUAAAACUGGAAUCAGUCUCUACCACCUCUGUUAGACUUCGGUGGUGGGACCAUACCCAUGGCUUACUUCCAUCUUUUCAGUCACUUCUUUCCCUGUUUUCCAGUUUCCUUAUUUACUGAUAUAUUUUUAUUUUGAUACGUUUAUAUUUGAGUAAGCCAUCAGAAAUGGUUUGUUUUUUAGUUCAGAUGAACUUAUCACAAGAUACAAUCAGCAAGAGUCAGACAGACUAGAGAACUCUAUAAUUAACAAAUGACUCACUUUCAUAAAUAAAAGGAAAAAAGGGGGAGAUGGAAGGGAAAUAUAUAAAUUAAGUGGGAUUAAGGGAACCCUCAUCUGUCGUUGUUAGAAUGUAAAAUUGUGCACCGCUUGGAAUAACAGUUUGGUGAUUCCUUUAAAAGUGAAACGUACCCUUAGUGUGUAGCCCAGCCCUCCACACCGAGGAGUCUCCCGGAGAGGAAUGAAAACACAUGUCAAAGACUACAUGUGAAGGUUCCUACAGCAUUAUUCAUAGAACCUAAACUGAAAACAACCCGUAUGUCCACCAGUGAUUGAACUGGUUUCAAAAAAGCAGCGGUGGUACAUUCUUACAAGAAAGCAUCGUCAGUAACAGAAAGGAACGAUUUGCCGUUUCAUGCACCAAGCCUGGAGGAACCCCAAAACCUUAGGUGAAGAGAAAGAAGUCAGACACAAAAGGCCACAUAUUUUAUGAUUCUAUUUAUAGGAAAUCGAUUUUUUAAAAAGAAGAAGGAACUCCAGAGACAGAAAGCUGCCCGUGGUUCCCUGGGGCUGAGCUGGGGGCGGGAACCGGCUGUAGAUGGCACGAGGGAGCUUUGUGGGGUGACGAAAGUGUCCAGUACUGGAUCGCAGUGAAGACUGAGCAACUGUCCACUGACGGUGUCUGCAUUUUAUGGUACAUAAACUGCACCUCAAUAAAGUUCUUUAAAAAUGGAGACUUAAAACUGCCUGGAAAUUUGAUCAUAUUGUGGCAUCUUUAUUAAGAAUGUUUUUAGGUGUGAUGAUGGCAUCGUGGUUAUGUUUUUACGAAUGAACCCCUAUCUUUUAGAGAUACACAUUGAAUUGUACAAAAUGAGAUGAUGCCUGGGAUUUGUUUCAAAGCAAUAUGGGAGGGUUUGGGUGGAGGAAGGGGGAAACAUGAAAGGACAGCAGUGGGUGACUGUUGGAGCUGAGUGAUGGGUAUGUGCAGAUUUAUUCCAGCAUUCUUUCUUCUUUUGUAUAUGCUUAAAAUGUUUCCAUAGUUAAAACUUUAAAAAGAUGAAGUUCAAGUCUUUAAAGAAAAAUAAAGCAAAAAAAAAACAGUGACUCGGCCAAGCUCUCCACGGUCACUGGCUGGACUCAGCUGGACCAGAUGUUUCCCCUCCCCUUCUGCCAACAGUGGGCAGCCUUUGUGUGCCACCAGCCGGAGUCUGCCUGGCACAGACCCAGCCUAAGCAUGAACCCGCACCCUGCUGAUCCGCCUCUCUGUCCCAGGGAUUCCAAUCCUGUAGAAUGAUGCAAGAAAGGGAAAAGAUUGGAGCAUCCUGGGAGAGCAGCUUUUGUGGCUGUCAUCGGGGUUUUCUCACGCAAGGUGAGAGUUUAUGCAGCUAACUGGAGCUGCCAUUAAAGUCUUCUCAUUGUGCCAGGGGAGGGGAGGUGGUCUCCCCAUGAGGCGACCCAUGAGGGAGAUAAAAAGUCAAAAAGGCUGGUCAAAGUGGUAAAUUUCUUCCACGCUUCUCUUUGCCAUAUUGGUCAUUCCGUUGCUGUCUGCGUAGAAGAAAUUAAUUAAGCCCAGGGCUUUCUCAGCAAUCUAGCUGUUUCCUGAAUUUUGCCCCUUUACCUCCCAAAUCAAUAUAGGUAAUAAUUACAAGUGAGCUCCAUUGGGGGUUGAAUUGGGUCCCCCCAAAAGAUAGGAUGAAGCUCUCAUCUCGGUCCUGGUGAAUGUGGCCUUAUUUGGAAAUAGGGUCAUUGCAAAUGGAAUUAGAAUAAGUUAAAAAGAGGUUGCCCUGGAGUAGGGGGCCCUUAAUCCAGUCUGCCUGGGGUCCCUGUAACGGGGGGGGGGGGGUCCCAAACCCGAAGAGGAGAUGGCCACGUGACGUGGUGGCGGAGAGUGGAGCAACACAGCUGCCAACCAGGGGGGCCGAGGAUGCCAGCACCGCUGGGAGCCGGGAAGGAGGCAGGGGGCAGCGUCUCCCCCAGAGCCUUCCGGGGGAGCUGGGCCCCGCCGACACCCCGAACUCAGACUUCCAGGCCCCAGAGCUGGGAGGUGAUAACUUCCUGUUGCUUCAGGCCACCCAGCUGGCGGUCCUCAGUGGCAGCAGCCCCGGACACCGAGAGGUGCAUUUCCGAGUUGUCGGUGCCAGUCUGAGUACUUAUCUGUAAGUAUUAAUUCGUUUAGUCCUUAUAACAGCCCCACGCAGUAUUAUUAUUCCCCUUUAACAGAUAAGGGAGCUGAGCCACUUGCUCUGGACGCACCGUCGGGGAGCAGCGCAGCUUGGGUUUACACCAGCCGAUGCGUCUGCAGGGGCCCGAGCCGUCAGCCGCCGGAUUGUUCUCUCCUUACAGGGACCCCAGGCGUUGGCUUUCGGGCCCACCCAUCUCCAGUGUGACCCCACCUUUACUUGAUGACAUCUGCAGAAACCCCACUUGCAGAGAAGUCACCUCCACAGGUGCCUUCUUGGAUCUUUCCUGAUGAGACCUCAACAUAUCUUUUGGGGGAACACAGCUCAAAACUUUAAACCCCCAAAAAGCUGCUCAACUGGGAACCUGAGGACCCAAAGGUGCUCCACUGCCCAGGGUGCCUGGUCUCACCCUCUUUAGCAGCAGGCAUUUGUGGGUGCCAACUCGUGCCCCAACAGAGGGGUGAUGGUUGCAACAGUGGUGGAAGCUGCAUUGAGCACCAGCACCGCAUCCAGCUCUGCUCAGGGCACUGCACAGGCACCAGCUCACUGAACCCCCUGAGCCUUGGGAGGGAGCGGCCCUCCUGACACCCUGAUUUCGGGCUCUGGCCACACAACAGUGGGAGAACACGCUUCUCCUGUUUUUAGCCCAUUUGUGGUCCUUGGUCACCGCGGCCCUGGGGCCCUCAGACAGGGACCCCCGUGGAGCAGGCCGUCUGCUGAGAUGCGAGCAUUCCUCGUCGCCAAGUCUUCUCACAAAGCACUCUCUCUGUAGGUAGCUUACACGAGUGGGGUUCCAAGUGGGCCACAGCCUCGCUGUGGCCGCCCUUUUAAUCCUCCAACGACGCUGAGCCCAUUUUACAGGACAGGAGACUGAGGCAGGCACCGCACCCCGCGGAGCUGACUGCGGGCAACGUCUCAGCCAUCCCUGCCUGCUUCCAUUCGCCUCCCCUACCAAGCCAGGGAGGGACGUGGUCAGAUGGUUCCCACCGACACCGUCGGGGAACUGCCCGGCUGCUGGAUCGCAAGUGGGGUAUCAGCUGCCCGCAUUCCACCCCCACCUGGGGUCUGCACCCUUGCAUGCCCCCCACCCGCGCUGGAUGACCACUGGGAUUGGCGGGAAUGGCCAAGCAGGCCCUCCGAGGCGAGGCCAUGAGGACACGGCAGUUUCCUCGUUGCUCUUUCUCGAUCGCUCGCUCUGGGGGAGGCCAGCUGUAAGCUCUGAGGACGUGGGUGCGGCCUAUCCAUGCGGAGGGGUCACCUGGCGAGGAACCGAGGCCCCAGCUGGCACGGCACUUGAGGGGGCCACCGUGGGGGAGGGCCCGCCAGCCCCAGUGAAACCGUCAGAUGACACGGCCUGGCUGACAGCUUAACUCACGAGAGCCUGUGCCUCAACCACCCGGUCACAUCGUCCCCACAUCCCCGACCCACGACCCACGGAAGUGUGGACAAUAAAUGCCUGUUGAUCUAAGCAGUAGUUAAGCUUGGGAGCACUUGGGUACACAGAGAUGGGUACGUAACCCCAGCACUGCUCUCCUUUUCUCAGCUCCAACACCAGUCUAGUCUGUCAAGAGUGUUUUAUUACCCAGGCUUUGGUCUGAACAAGUUUCCUGUGGUGUAGCCCCGGCCCCAUCUUUCCUGGAUUGGGGCUGAAGAAAUAUGCCCGCAUUCUAGAUGACAGAGUGGCUGGGGACAGGCUGUAAAAGAACAAGUAAAUCUGCUCUGAGCAAUCUGAGGGAAUGGGGUGCAUCUCGCAUAGGUUUUCAAACUCUGGCCUCAAAUGUUAAGGAAAUGUUUAUGUGGAGGAUUACUCUGUGCCACACACACACACACACACACACACACACACUUUGGUCUCCCCGUCUUUUGCAGUGAUACGAAACUCUGGUUCUUUGGGGUCAUGGUCCCAGCUCCCAUCACUGUGUGAUGUGAACAGGCAGGAAGCUGUAUUGGGGGAAGCAGGAAGGAUCCCAGAAGGAUCUAGAAGUGCUAGGAAGUGACCUUUGGUGGAGGGGAAAGGGAAAGAGGUGAUGGAAUCCCCAGUCUUUCACCCAAUAUUUAUUGAGCUCCAGAUUCCCUAAGAUUCUCACUUGGACCUGCAGUGGUUGGGUUUUGAGGCUUCUCCCCAGCGUCAUCCGCCUGCCUUCAGAUCCGCCAGGGUCCUCUUGUGUGCUGGGCACUGUGCACUGCUGCCUCCUACGUAUUUAUCCAGGAACGGCGGACCAAAGCAAGGGCCCCACGUCACUUCUUUGGUGGGUCUUGUUGGGCAGUUGCUGUGGGCAGGCACGUGUUGCGUGGCGUGGUUUCCUGACUUUGGAGGAGAAAGGGAAGGAGGGGAGAGAGGAGGAAGCCCGGCUCCACUCCGUUCUCCAGAACUUUCUGCAAUGAGAGGAAUGUCCUUUAUCUGUACUGUCCAACACGAUGGCCAUUACCACACGUGGCAGCUGAGCGCUUGAAAUGUGGGUAGUGCGACCGAGGAACUGAGUUUUUAAUUUUAUUUAAAUUAAACACUCCACUGAAAUAGCCACAUAUCUAGUAGCUUCCAAACUGGGCAGCACAAUUCUAAGAGCCUUGUUUUGGGUCUACAAACACAAUCUCUCUAGUGAUUUAUUUCAAAAUUUUAAAUUAAGGUAUGAUGUACAUAGAAUAAAAUUCACAGUUCUGCUAGUUUUGACAAAUGCACACAGUCAUAUAAUGACAGUCAAGAUAAAAAACAGUUUGGUCACCCACUCGCACCCCAAAAUUCCUGCAUGUCGUCAUGUAGUUAACCUCUCCCCACUCCUCUGGCUCCUGGAAAUCCCUCAUCUGUUUCUGUCCCUCGAGUUUUGCCUUUUCCAGAAUGUCAUAUUAAAAAAAAUCAAACAG